GACGUAGGAGGCGAGCGUUAUCCGGAUUCACUGGGCGUAAAGCGCAUGUAGGCGGUUGCACAAGUCCGUUGUUAAAGCCCCUGGCUCAACUGGGGGAGGUCAAUGGAGACUGUGCGACUUGAGGGCAAUAGAGGCACGUGGAACUCCCGGUGUAGCGGUGGAAUGCGUAGAGAUCGGGAAGAACACCAGUGGCGAAGGCGACGUGCUGGGUUGCCCCUGACGCUGAGAUGCGAAAGUGUGGGGAGCAAACGGG
RNAcentral lists this ribosomal RNA (253 nucleotides) under uncultured bacterium. RNAcentral's name for it is "partial 16S ribosomal RNA". It matches the Rfam family "Bacterial small subunit ribosomal RNA", at positions 524 to 776 of the family's 1533-position model. The record is from RNAcentral.